GUAGUACUUCCUCCAUCCGAAAAUACUUGUAGAAAAAGUGGAUGUAUCUAAACAUAUUUUAGUUUUACAUACAUCCAAUUUUGUUCAUUUCUCCGAGUAUUUUUGAACGGAGAGAGUAUUAA
Molecule: microRNA precursor, 122 nt
Filed under: Hordeum vulgare
Lineage: Eukaryota; Viridiplantae; Streptophyta; Magnoliopsida; Poales; Poaceae
Description: microRNA MIR1122
Rfam family: MIR1120/MIR1122 microRNA precursor family
Source: RNAcentral